This is a long non-coding RNA of Bactrocera dorsalis (oriental fruit fly), 362 nucleotides long. RefSeq lists it as uncharacterized. NCBI's taxonomy places the organism in Eukaryota, Metazoa, Arthropoda, Insecta, Diptera, Tephritidae. The transcript has 4 exons. The record is from RefSeq and is a predicted model, not a curated record.
CAAGAGUUCGUUAUAGUUAUGUGACCUCCCUGCAAGACGGAGGUAACAGAUUGCACAAACACAUUGAAACAUUUUCAGCUGUUCACUAACACUGUUACAUUUUCUGGAAUUUUCAAUGGAAUGGGAGAAUACGAGAGGCGAAUACCCAAUAUUUCAAGAAGAAUAAACGAAAAGCGCAGUUUAUUUUGGAUUUUAAAGAGAGAAAACGAAAGAGGUUAACAAGGAGAAAAAGAAAUCAUUUGGACCAUUGGUAAAAUUCAAAUCUAUUGCGUGCAGCAACCAAAUAAUGGAGUAUGUUUUAAAUUAUUAAAGUUAAAUAGUGUAUAUUUAAUUCAAAUAUUUGUUAUAGAUUGUGCAUUUUA